UUAAUACUCCCUCUGUCCCAAAAUUCUUGUCUUAGAUUUAUUUAGAAAUGGAUGUAUCAAAUACUAAAACGUGACUAGAUACAUUCAUAUCUAGACAAAUCUAANNNAAGAAUUUUAGGACGGAGGGAGUAGGUG
This is a non-coding RNA of Hordeum vulgare subsp. vulgare (domesticated barley), 135 nucleotides long. The record is from Rfam. Lineage: Eukaryota; Viridiplantae; Streptophyta; Magnoliopsida; Poales; Poaceae.